Peromyscus eremicus (cactus mouse) is the source of this 376-nucleotide long non-coding RNA. RefSeq lists it as uncharacterized. The record is from RefSeq and is a predicted model, not a curated record. The transcript is spliced from 4 exons. Lineage: Eukaryota; Metazoa; Chordata; Mammalia; Rodentia; Cricetidae.
CUCUCUCUCUCUCUCUCUCUUUCCCUUGAGCUACAUUAUGGGAAAAUCCGCAGACCUCCAUGUGGCUUGAUGCUCAUGGGCAUUUGACUCCUAGAUACUUUGUCUACAGUCUCUUGACCCUCAGCCCAAACAUUGGGAGAGUUUGAGAGGUUUCAAUGAGAACAGAAGGGACAAAGGAUACAGGCAAGGUUUUCAAGUGAAAUUACAGGAUGAUUUCAGUGAAAAUUCACAUUGAACUUCUCAACAAGAUGCCAGAGGCAGAAGGAAAGAUGUAUCCAACAAAAUGGUGUUGUUGAAGUUGAAGCGUGGCAGACUGGAUGUAGAAAUAACCAAAGGAUUAGAUAGAGCUUUGUAAAUUUGCUUACAGGCAUUCUUG